Podarcis lilfordi (Lilford's wall lizard) is the source of this 75-nucleotide non-coding RNA. The record is from the annotation of a GenBank genome assembly. Lineage: Eukaryota; Metazoa; Chordata; Lepidosauria; Squamata; Lacertidae.
GUCUUCCAGUGGCUCAGUCAGUAGAGCAGGAGACUCUUAAUCUCUGGGUUGUGGGUUUGAGGCCCACGUUGGGCA